This 67-nucleotide transfer RNA is filed under the name Tropidothorax cruciger. RNAcentral describes it as "tRNA-Asn". The record is from RNAcentral. Lineage: Eukaryota; Metazoa; Arthropoda; Insecta; Hemiptera; Lygaeidae.
UUAAUUGAAGCCAAAUUAGAGGCUUUCCAAUGUUAAUGGAAUCAUUGAUUAUAAUAAUCCAAUUAAG